GACGAACGCUGGCGGCGUGCUUAACACAUGCAAGUCGAACGGAAAGGCCCUGCUUUUGUGGGGUGCUCGAGUGGCGAACGGGUGAGUAACACGUGAGUAACCUGCCCUUGACUUUGGGAUAACUUCAGGAAACUGGGGCUAAUACCGGAUAGGAGCUCCUGCUGCAUGGUGGGGGUUGGAAAGUUUCGGCGGUUGGGGAUGGACUCGCGGCUUAUCAGCUUGUUGGUGGGGUAGUGGCUUACCAAGGCUUUGACGGGUAGCCGGCCUGAGAGGGUGACCGGCCACAUUGGGACUGAGAUACGGCCCAGACUCCUACGGGAGGCAGCAGUGGGGAAUAUUGCACAAUGGGCGGAAGCCUGAUGCAGCAACGCCGCGUGCGGGACGACGGCCUUCGGGUUGUAAACCGCUUUCGCCUGUGACGAAGCGUGAGUGACGGUAAUGGGUAAAGAAGCACCGGCUAACUACGUG
RNAcentral lists this ribosomal RNA (468 nucleotides) under uncultured bacterium. RNAcentral describes it as "partial 16S ribosomal RNA". It matches the Rfam family "Bacterial small subunit ribosomal RNA", at positions 28 to 507 of the family's 1533-position model. The record is from RNAcentral.